This 67-nucleotide transfer RNA is filed under the name Microtus agrestis (short-tailed field vole). Its description in RNAcentral is "tRNA-Phe". It matches the Rfam family "tRNA". Rfam says of the family: Transfer RNA (tRNA) molecules are approximately 80 nucleotides in length. Their secondary structure includes four short double-helical elements and three loops (D, anti-codon, and T loops). Lineage: Eukaryota; Metazoa; Chordata; Mammalia; Rodentia; Cricetidae. The record is from RNAcentral.
GUUAAUGUAGCUUAAACAAAGCAAAGCACUGAAAAUGCUUAGAUGGAUGCAAGCAUCCCAUAAACAA